This 73-nucleotide transfer RNA is filed under the name Felis catus (domestic cat). It matches the Rfam family "tRNA". Rfam says of the family: Transfer RNA (tRNA) molecules are approximately 80 nucleotides in length. Their secondary structure includes four short double-helical elements and three loops (D, anti-codon, and T loops). RNAcentral also lists the same sequence under 4 other names. The record is from Rfam by way of RNAcentral. Lineage: Eukaryota; Metazoa; Chordata; Mammalia; Carnivora; Felidae.
GCCUAGCUGUCUCAGUCAGUAGAGCAUGCAACUCUUAAUCUCAGGGUUGUGAGUUCAAGCCCCAUGCUGGGCA